This is a long non-coding RNA of Pieris napi, 2747 nucleotides long. RefSeq lists it as uncharacterized. The transcript has 3 exons. Lineage: Eukaryota; Metazoa; Arthropoda; Insecta; Lepidoptera; Pieridae. The record is from RefSeq and is a predicted model, not a curated record.
CGUAAACGUCAGUUGAUAUCGUCUAAUUAAAAAUUCGACUAUAAGCAAAAAUGCAAUAAAAGUUUAAAUAUUAAAUAGUGUCAUUAUUAAGUGUAUGUUAUGGAAAAACAGAAAUUUUGAAAACAUACAAUGUCUGAGGAAAAUAAUGAUAUUGAAUACUUAAUAACAACACUUGGAACAUUUUUAUUACUGGCAUUGGUUUGUUGUAUCUGCUGUUUUUGUAUGAAAAUCAGUGACAUGAAACUGAGGAACUAUAUACUAGAGUUGGGAAAGAAGAGCAAUAUUAAUGUGGAUCUUGAGAAACUAAAACCAACCAAUACUAGGUAGUCUCCAUAUGCUAAUGAGAACUGUACAAUUGUCAUCCCUGAUGUUGCCAUAGUUCUAUAGAUCUGUAUGAGUUUACAAGUAAUAUUAGCUAUAAGUUAGUAAAAUUAUGCUUACAAUAUGAUUGGCAAAAGAGUUAUUUUGUGUUGCCAUGUAAAAAUUUGAUACAACUUUCUGUGAGGUCACAUUUAUUGUCCAAAGUACACUUAAAACUUUAAGUUUUAUAAAAAUCAAUUUGUACCUGUUUAAUGUAAUACUCAUUUUUUAUGUUAUAUAUUAUGUGAUAUGAGGCUUUGUCUUAAGUUAAACUUUUUUCAAAGUUAUUUAUUUUCUUUUUUUAAGUAAAAUCAAAUAUGGAUUUGAAUAGUUUCUUUGCAAAAUUGAAUUCAUAUAUAUUUAUUUAUUGAUAACUGAAACAAUAUUAUUAAAAUAUAUCCCAAAUUAAAAAAAAAUUGGGUGUGUAAAAGUUAUACAAUACAAUUUGCUACAUAGGAGAAUGAUGUAUAUGGUUUUUCAUAUAUAUUCUUUUCCAUUGUAGUAGAAAAAUGGUCUAAAAGUUCUCCAAGAACUCAUGAAACUUGAUCUUACUUGAGCGACGACACUGUCCAUGUAUACGCACAAUAUUAUUAAAAAAAAAAUAUUUUUAAAAUAAAACCAAAGGUUCUGUACUCAACCUGUAGAUAAUCCUAAGUUCCUAAAUUAUGUACUAUUUAUAAUGUCAAUUUAUUCUUCCCUUUUAAAUCUUGGCAUCAUGAUACCAUCAUGUGUUGUGCCUUAUUGUGGCCAAAGUUAAAAGCAUGUAUAUUUCUAUGAUCUGAAUAAAAAGCUUUUAUAUCUAAUGUCUAAGAAAACUGUGUAGUAUUUUUAACCUAGCGUUUUUUCUAUACUACUUAAGAAAAACUUUAACAUUACUUUAGGAGAAAGUGUAUGAUAUUCAGUGUAUCAAAUUACGAUGCCAUUUUUUGUACAGCUUAUUGGUACCAAAUAUAAUGUAUUUUUCAGACAUGUGGGACAAAGUAAUACAAAUGCCACUCUUAGAAGAGUUUUGUGUAAUAAUUCUUAUAUACUUAGUAAACAUUGAAAUUAUAUGUAAAUGAACAGUGUUUCGAAAAGCAUUGUUUAUUAUAAAAUUGUACACUUAGUUUAAAUACAGAAAAUACAAGAAAGAAAGAAAAUACAAUUAUUCUGUAAAAUUCUAAAACUCAAGAAAUGUAAGCACAUUUUCACAGUGUAUCCUUUCGAAUUGUUUUUAUAAAAUAAAAAAAUACAAUGAGUCAUAAUAACUAGUAGUUGUUAAAAAAGUUAAUAGUAUUCUUAAUGUUCUAAGGUAGCUCUGAUUUGAUAAUAUAAGUUCUAAACAAAAUAAGGUAAUACGCACACAUAAUAUAAUAGGAAUUUUUCUUCUUGAAAUGUUUAAAUAAUAACAAUACAAUAUAUAUAAUAGCUUAUAUUGUUUUUUACGUAAACAAUUUCAAUUAUGACUGAUAUUAAUUUUAUAAGCUCUCUACAAUUGUAUUUAAGUAUGUUUUUAUUGUACAAAGCUUGGCAAUAUUAAUACUGUGAAUAGCAAUCUCUUUUAAAUUUUGGAAGAGAUUGUUAGGUUUUUCUAUAUCUGAUAGGCAAAUUUGAGAUCAAUUUAUCAUUAAUAUUUAUUUUGAGCAAUUAUUGCUACAACUGACACAAUAUUUGGAAGAGAAAAGGCUUCAAGUUCUGUAAAUCUGUAUUGGAAUUUGGAUUCCCUUGUUUUUGUUGUUUGCGACAUACCAAUAGGUAUGUAAUUGUAUCGAAUAUUUUUAUGAAUAAGCUUACAGCUCCCCUGGUGGACUCGAGGAGAACUAAGUUUUUCAAAUAAAUAUUUAUCAUAAAUGUUAAUGACAUUUAUAAUUAAAUAACAGUUUUAUUAUUCUUAAAAUAGUUAAUGAUCAAAUUAAGAAGCUCAAGAGCCUAACUUAGCGGUUGAUGCUCUUGGUGAUUGAUGGCAAAAUUGAUUUGCAGGGUGACAGCAGUUUGGUAAUUAGAAAUAUUAAUAAUUGAUGUAUAGACUGAUAGUAUUAGUAGUAACCUAGCCUUGAACAUUCUAAAUUUAAUUAUAUUGAGAAAAUAAUACUUGAUUCGUUGAGGUAAAAUAUCUAAAUAAAGUUCUAAUGCACAUGUCAGAGCAAUGGUGCUGGUAUCGCCUGCCAAACUAUCAAAAAGUCUGUUAAUUUGUAGAUUUAUUAAUAUUGGCAAAUCUAAUAAACAAUAUAACUGUUUUAAACUAAUUUGCCUUUGAUGAUAUUAAAUUAUAAUGAAAAUGGCAGCCGAUACCACCACCAUUGCUCCGAUAUACAUAAUGCAUUUAUUAACAGUGUUAUUAGUUGCCAAGCUGUAGAUAUAGCUGUGUAUGUGUUCACGAAAUUUUUUAGAUAAACGAUUUAUAAAUA